Molecule: ribosomal RNA, 468 nt
Filed under: uncultured bacterium
Lineage: Bacteria
Description: partial 16S ribosomal RNA
Rfam family: Bacterial small subunit ribosomal RNA
Source: RNAcentral
GACGAACGCUGGCGGCGUGCUUAACACAUGCAAGUCGAACGGUGAUGCUCCAGCUUGCUGGAGUGGAUCAGUGGCGAACGGGUGAGUAACACGUGAGCAACCUGCCCCAGACUCUGGAAUAAGCGCUGGAAACGGCGUCUAAUACUGGAUACGAAACUGGCCCGCAUGGGCAUGGUUUGGAAAGUUUUUCGGUUUGGGAUGGGCUCGCGGCCUAUCAGCUUGUUGGUGAGGUAAUGGCUCACCAAGGCGACGACGGGUAGCCGGCCUGAGAGGGCGACCGGCCACACUGGGACUGAGACACGGCCCAGACUCCUACGGGAGGCAGCAGUGGGGAAUAUUGCACAGUGGGCGAAAGCCUGAUGCAGCGACGCCGCGUGAGGGAUGACGGCCUUCGGGUUGUAAACCUCUUUCACCAGGGACGAAGCGUGAGUGACGGUACCUGGAGAAGAAGCACCGGCCAACUACGUG